This 421-nucleotide ribosomal RNA is filed under the name Salmonella enterica subsp. enterica serovar Oranienburg. RNAcentral's name for it is "bacterial SSU rRNA". It matches the Rfam family "Bacterial small subunit ribosomal RNA", at positions 87 to 504 of the family's 1533-position model. Lineage: Bacteria; Pseudomonadati; Pseudomonadota; Gammaproteobacteria; Enterobacterales; Enterobacteriaceae. The record is from RNAcentral.
GCUGACGAGUGGCGGACGGGUGAGUAAUGUCUGGGAAACUGCCUGAUGGAGGGGGAUAACUACUGGAAACGGUGGCUAAUACCGCAUAAYGUCGCAAGACCAAAGAGGGGGACCUUCGGGCCUCUUGCCAUCAGAUGUGCCCAGAUGGGAUUAGCUUGUUGGUGAGGUAACGGCUCACCAAGGCGACGAUCCCUAGCUGGUCUGAGAGGAUGACCAGCCACACUGGAACUGAGACACGGUCCAGACUCCUACGGGAGGCAGCAGUGGGGAAUAUUGCACAAUGGGCGCAAGCCUGAUGCAGCCAUGCCGCGUGUAUGAAGAAGGCCUUCGGGUUGUAAAGUACUUUCAGCGGGGAGGAAGGUGUUGYGGUUAAUAACCGCAGCAAUUGACGUUACCCGCAGAAGAAGCACCGGCUAACUCC